Molecule: long non-coding RNA, 215 nt
Filed under: Prunus persica (peach)
Lineage: Eukaryota; Viridiplantae; Streptophyta; Magnoliopsida; Rosales; Rosaceae
Description: long non-coding RNA (PPER_LNC000065)
Source: RNAcentral
UUUUAUUGGUCAUUAAUGUAUUGAAUUAAUUUUCAAUGUACUGUUUUGGAGUGUUAAAUUUACAUUCAUUGCAAUAUUUUCAUGUACAUGGGUAGAUACAUUCUUAGGAAAUUAUCAACAAUCAUCGCUUAAUAACUGUUUUCCUCUUGAUUUGAGUUGGAGUCAGGCGUGUUGUGCCUUCGUUGCAAUUCUUCGUUUUUCCAAUGACGUUCCCU